This is a long non-coding RNA of Passer domesticus (house sparrow), 397 nucleotides long. RefSeq lists it as uncharacterized. NCBI's taxonomy places the organism in Eukaryota, Metazoa, Chordata, Aves, Passeriformes, Passeridae. The transcript is spliced from 2 exons. The record is from RefSeq and is a predicted model, not a curated record.
UCUUCUCACUUAUCUUCCCUUUCUGCUUGUAUCUUUCCAUUCCAAAACUCCAGUCAUAGGCACCAUUCCAACACAUCUCUGUGAUGCCAAUAAGAUCACAGCCCUGCAGACAUGCACACAGUUCCAAACACUUCUUGCUGAUUUGCCAUGCAAUGCAUCGCCAUAGAGGUGUUCUCUUUCACAUCUUCUAUCCUAAAACAGCCUCUCAGGAAGCUCCGGGGCCAGAAACACCCACACAGAAUGCUCAGCUGUCAAUAGUGGAAGAGAAGGAAGAGUGUCAUUGCCUACACACUAUCUGAGAAUAAGGCCUGCAGAGAGUAGGGUGAGACACCCUGGCUGCAAUUCACAGGAAACUCAGUAGGAUAAUUAAACAUUAAUUUUCUUUUUUCAAUUUUUA